RNAcentral lists this unclassified non-coding RNA (392 nucleotides) under soil metagenome. Its description in RNAcentral is "partial contains 5.8S ribosomal RNA, internal transcribed spacer 2, and large subunit ribosomal RNA". The stretch from base 1 to 123 matches the Rfam family "5.8S ribosomal RNA", at positions 35 to 154 of the family's 154-position model. The record is from RNAcentral.
GAUGAAGAACGUAGCGAAAUGCGAUACGUAAUGUGAAUUGCAGAUCUCUCAGUGAACCAUCGAAUUUUUGAACGCACAUAGCGCCCGCCGGUCAUUCCGGCGGGCAUGCCUGUCCGAGCGUCGAUGACGCCGCUCGAGCCCCCGUGCUCGGUGUUGGGGCGCUAGGUCUCCCAGAGGCCUAGGCCCCCAAGUAGCAGUGCGCGGUCCGGCUGCGGGCCCCGGGUACAGUAACUUCACUGUUGAGAUGCCCUGGGAGCCGCUGGAUGGGUCAGCCGUAAAACCCCCGACAUAGGCCUUCCUGUCCGCCCCCGGCGGGGAGGGAGACCGCCUAAUGUUGACCUCGGAUCAGGUAGGACUACCCGCUGAACUUGAGCAUAUCAAUAAGCGGAGGA